RNAcentral lists this ribosomal RNA (406 nucleotides) under uncultured bacterium. RNAcentral's name for it is "bacterial SSU rRNA". It matches the Rfam family "Bacterial small subunit ribosomal RNA", at positions 917 to 1322 of the family's 1533-position model. The record is from RNAcentral.
GGGCCCGCACAAGCGGUGGAGCAUGUGGUUUAAUUCGAUGCAACGCGAAAAACCUUACCAGGCCUUGACAUCCAGAGAACUUACCAGAGAUGGUUCGGUGCCUUCGGGAACUCUGUGACAGGUGUUGCAUGGCUGUCGUCAGCUCGUGUCGUGAGAUGUUGGGUUAAGUCCCGUAACGAGCGCAACCCUUAUCCUUACUUGCCAGCACGUAAAGGUGGGAACUUUAAGGAGACUGCCGGUGACAAACCGGAGGAAGGAGAGGAUGAUGUCAAGUCAUCAUGGCCCUUACGGCCUGGGCUACACACGUGCUACAAUGGAAAGUACAAAGGGUCGCAAUGCCGCGAGGUGGAGCAAAUCCCAAAAAACUUUUCGUAGUCCGGAUUGGAGUCUGCAACUCGACUCCAUG